GAUGAACGCUGGCGGCGUGCCUAAUACAUGCAAGUCGAGCGAACGGACGAGAAGCUUGCUUCUCUGAUGUUAGCGGCGGACGGGUGAGUAACACGUGGAUAACCUACCUAUAAGACUGGGAUAACUACGGGAAACCGUAGCUAAUACCGGAUAAUAUUUUGAACCGCAUGGUUCAAAAGUGAAAGACGGUCUUGCUGUCACUUAUAGAUGGAUCCGCGCUGCAUUAGCUAGUUGGUAAGGUAACGGCUUACCAAGGCGACGAUGCAUAGCCGACCUGAGAGGAUGAUCGGCCACACUGGAACUGAGACACGGUCCAGACUCCUACGGGAGGCAGCAGUAGGGAAUCUUCCACAAUGGGCGAAAGCCUGACGGAGCAACGCCGCGUGAAUGAUGAAGGUCUUCGGAUCGUAAAACUCUGUUAUUAGGAAAGAACAUAUGUGUAAGUAACUGUGCACAUCUUGACGGUACCUAAUCAGAAAGCCACGGCUAACUACGUG
RNAcentral lists this ribosomal RNA (497 nucleotides) under uncultured bacterium. Its description in RNAcentral is "partial 16S ribosomal RNA". It matches the Rfam family "Bacterial small subunit ribosomal RNA", at positions 28 to 507 of the family's 1533-position model. The record is from RNAcentral.